RNAcentral lists this ribosomal RNA (530 nucleotides) under uncultured bacterium. Its description in RNAcentral is "bacterial SSU rRNA". It matches the Rfam family "Bacterial small subunit ribosomal RNA", at positions 777 to 1301 of the family's 1533-position model. The record is from RNAcentral.
AAUAGAUACCCUGGUAGUCCACGCCGUAAACGAUGAGUGCUAAGUGUUAGAGGGUUUCCGCCCUUUAGUGCUGCAGCAAACGCAUUAAGCACUCCGCCUGGGGAGUACGGUCGCAAGACUGAAACUCAAAGGAAUUGGCGGGGGCCCGCACAAGCGGUGGAGCAUGUGGUUUAAUUCGAAGCAACGCGAAGAACCUUACCAGGUCUUGACAUCCUUAUGCCUUCUCUAGAGAUAGAGCUUUCCCUUCGGGGACAUAAGUGACAGGUGGUGCAUGGUUGUCGUCAGCUCGUGUCGUGAGAUGUUGGGUUAAGUCCCGCAACGAGCGCAACCCUUGAUCUUAGUUGCCAGCAUUCAGUUGGGCACUCUAAGGUGACUGCCGGUGACAAACCGGAGGAAGGUGGGGAUGACGUCAAAUCAUCAUGCCCCUUAUGACCUGGGCUACACACGUGCUACAAUGGAUGGUACAAGGGGCAGCGAAACCGCGAGGUUAAGCCAAUCCCAUAAAACCAUUCUCUAGNUUUCGGGAUUGG